RNAcentral lists this ribosomal RNA (225 nucleotides) under uncultured Acinetobacter sp. RNAcentral's name for it is "partial 16S ribosomal RNA". It matches the Rfam family "Bacterial small subunit ribosomal RNA", at positions 568 to 792 of the family's 1533-position model. Lineage: Bacteria; Pseudomonadati; Pseudomonadota; Gammaproteobacteria; Moraxellales; Moraxellaceae. The record is from RNAcentral.
CACGUAGGCGGAUGAAUAAGUCAGGGGUGAAAUCCCCGAGCUUAACUUGGGAAUUGCAUUCGAUACUGGGAAGCUAGAGUAUGGGAGAGGAUGGUAGAAUUCCAGGUGUAGCGGUGAAAUGCGUAGAGAUCUGGAGGAAUACCGGUGGCGAAGGCAGCCAUCUGGCCUAAUACUGACGCUGAGGUACGAAAGCAUGGGGAGCAAACAGGAUUAGAUACCCUGGUA